RNAcentral lists this ribosomal RNA (496 nucleotides) under uncultured bacterium. RNAcentral's name for it is "partial 16S ribosomal RNA". It matches the Rfam family "Bacterial small subunit ribosomal RNA", at positions 29 to 507 of the family's 1533-position model. The record is from RNAcentral.
AUGAACGCUGGCGGCGUGCCUCAUACCUGCAAGUCGAGCGAACAGACGAGGAGCUUGCUCCUCUGACGUUAGCGGCGGACGGGUGAGUAACACGUGGAUAACCUACCUAUAAGACUGGGAUAACUUCGGGAAACCGGCGCUAAUACCGGAUAAUAUAUUGAACCGCAUGGAUCCAUAGUGAAAGACGGUUUUGCUGUCACUUAUAGAUGGAUCCGCGCCGCAUUAGCUAGUUGGUAAGGUAACGGCUUACCAAGGCAACGAUGCGUAGCCGACCUGAGAGGGUGAUCGGCCACACUGGAACUGAGACACGGUCCAGACUCCUACGGGAGGCAGCAGUAGGGAAUCUUCCGCAAUGGGCGAAAGCCUGACGGAGCAACGCCGCGUGAGUGAUGAAGGUCUUCGGAUCGUAAAACUCUGUUAUUAGGGAAGAACAAAUGUGUAAGUAACUAUGCACGUCUUGACGGUACCUAAUCAGAAAGCCACGGCUAACUACGUG